This 2507-nucleotide long non-coding RNA is filed under the name Marmota monax (woodchuck). The record is from RNAcentral. Lineage: Eukaryota; Metazoa; Chordata; Mammalia; Rodentia; Sciuridae.
GUUUUUUUUAAGUUUUUAAGUUUUAAAAUAUUCAAUAUAUAGAGUAAUUUAUUCAGUUCAUAUAUCCCAGUUCACUUCAUUCAGGUCACAUGUUCCAAUGUCAAAAUGUAAAUAAUAAUAAAAAGGAAUGGUGGGUUUUGUUCCUUUUUGAGGUCAUUGCCCUUUAGAGGAAUCUGGUGACAUCAUGGACCUUCCUGCAGCCAAGUCCAUAUGUGCAUAUCAGCACACACACAAAAUCAAAGUUGAAAGCACCUGAUGUGGAGAACGAGAGGAGGGUGCAAGGCAAGUCAGUCAUCUGCCAGUCAGAUGGAUGAAGGGUCAGGAACUGCCAUCACAGCACAAGGAGCUUUUUCUCUAAAGAGAUGGAAGUGGACUGAAUGAGAAGAGAGAAACAUGUGACAUGGCCCUUCAGUUCUGAGUCCAGCGAUUGGUACUCAAGAUCCCCGUAAGAUCCCUGUUUGUCUGUUUACAGUGAACGUCCCUGGACAUGACCAAGCUGGCCUAGCCUCUUGACUUACAACCAGACAAAAGUGAUGGAGCUGACUUCUGCACGGUGGGGCAUUACUGCUGUGUCAUUCCAGGUUGCUGGUGGCCAGCAUUAGGAAGCUUUCCUGUAGGGCGAUUGUAUCAACAGCAGAUGCUUUCAGAAUAAAGUGAAUAACCAGCCGCAGUUACUUUUCACGGCUGCUGACUUCCUUUAGAGUAGGUUGAACACUUGCCAAGCAUAUCCUCUUUUUUUUGGUACUCCAGUUUAAGGAAAAGGCAAGGAAGAGUUGACAUCGACCUUGCUAGUAGAUUUUUUUUUUUCUUGGUACUUUAAAAAUAUUUUUGAACUUUAAUUGAGGCAGAACUUUCUAAGAUUUAUAGCUAGAAAGGACUUAAAAGCUUUUCUAGUCCCACUACUUUCAUACAUAAAGAGAGCUGGACCCCAGUGUAUAUCACCUACUCAGUCUCCUUUAGCACUCACAAUAACCUUGUGUAGUGUAAGACCCAGACACAGUUAGUUAACUCCUUGCCCAAGAUCAAAGAUAUAGCUAGGGAUGGAAAUAGGUUUGAACCCAGGUCUUCCUGACUACAAAGAAUAUGUUGCAGUGCUUCUUUGGGCUGUAAAAUUCAGGCAACAGAAGAGUGAGGCUUUUACCGUACCUUUCUUGGUCUUUUUUUAGCAUCUGUUCUAGAAAAGAAGGCUGGAACCUUACAAUCUCCACUUGUUUACUUACUUACAGCACUGAGGAUUGAACCCAGAGCCUCAUGCAUGACAGACAAAUGCCUUACCACUGAGCUACACCCUCGCCCCUUUUUUAUUUUGUAUUUUUGUUGUUGUUGUUGUUGGGGGAGUACGUGGGAUUGAACUCAGGGACACUUGACCACUGAGCCACAUCCCCAACCUUAUUUUGUAUUUUAUUUAGAGACAGGGUCUCACUGAGUUGCUUAGCACCUCACUUUUUUGCUGAGGCUGGCUUUGAACUCACAAUCCUCCUGCCUCAGCCUCUGGAAUUACAGGUGUGUGCCAUUGAACCCGGUUUUAUUUUGUAUUUUAAGACAGCGUCUUGCUAAGUCGCCCAGGCUGGCCUUGAACUCAUGAUGCUCCUGCCUCAUUCCCUCCUGAGUAGGAGUUUAUAGGCAUGCAACACUGCCCCUGGCAAAAGCCCCAUUUUUUGAUCUUUGAGCCAAUCAGUCUUGAAUUAUCCAUCUAGCAUCCCCCGCUAUGGCCAUAUUGUUGCAACCAAGCAGAUCUUUUCCCACUGUGCUGGAGCUGCUGUUGGACACUUAGCCUAUCUUACAGAGGCUUCCCAUGGAACCAUUUGGUGGUGGUGGAGAGGAUUGACAGGAAGUACCAGGCAGCAGAGAUCCAUGGUUUGAACAUUAGAAUAACUAAUAACUUAUUUACAGAGGAUCUGCAGGAUGGAGGGGAGGUUAGAAGCCAUGGCUCUAGAAAUAGACUGGGUGAGUCUCAGCUCUUCUCCUUUAAUAUCUGAGUGACCUUGGGCAGGUACCUGCUGCCUCUAAAAUUUCAGUUUCUUUGCGAUAUAGGAAUUAAUUUGUUUGUAUGUGUGUUUUUGAAGUAUGCACUACACAGGGUUGUAGAGGAUCCACUUAACACAGUACCUGAAGUGGUGAUGCUCAGUAAAUGCUGGCUGCUUCUGCCUACUUGAAAAUGGUUUAGAGAAAAAGCAAGAGAGAGGUAGUAUCAGCCUCCAAAAAUUGCUCUAUUUUGGUUAAUGGUUUUUAAGUUUUUGAGCUGAAAACAAGUCACGGCUUUCUAGGCGUAUAAAGGUGGGGAGAUUGCUUUCCUUGACAAUGCUAACUCCUGUGCUUAGCUGACAGAGCCAAUUUAAAACUGCAGUCAUUUUAUGAGUGUAAAAUAUUAGUUUCAAAGUGCAUAAAACGUAUCUGCAUUUUAUGACCAUAAUGAAGAGAGGUAGAAAUAUGUUCCAAAUUGUUUUGUAGCUUGACCAUUAAGUAAUAUGGCUGUUGUUUUCCUGUUUCUCAGCAGCAUAAUGAGG